Haliotis rufescens (red abalone) is the source of this 1324-nucleotide long non-coding RNA. RefSeq lists it as uncharacterized. The record is from RefSeq and is a predicted model, not a curated record. Lineage: Eukaryota; Metazoa; Mollusca; Gastropoda; Lepetellida; Haliotidae. The transcript has 3 exons.
CUAUAGACACAUUAUCUUUCUGUUUGACUUAUUUGGUUCUCAUUUUAUGUAAUUAUUUUAGAUAUUUGGCAAAAUUUGGUUUUACAUCUAUGUCAAGUUUCCUUUUUUGAAGAGUAUAUAAAGACAAAGGUAGAGUCAAAUAUCAGGCAUUUGUGAGAUUAAAAUAAUACUUUGAAAAUAACCUUUUAAUAUCAGCUAUAGUUUUUUGCUUUCAUAUCAUUUUAAUGUUUCUUGAAUGAUAUUAUUGCGUUCAUACAACAGAAACUUUGUUGAACAGUUUCCUAUUUCAGGAGCAAAGAAAACCAGCGCCACCAAUGUGCCUAUUGUAGCAAAGUAUAUACUACUUACGUACCUCUAGAAGUCACAGAACUGAUAAUUGAAUAUAAACACUUAAACAGAUAACGCAGAUGGGUUCAUUGUGAUGGACUGCCGGAAACAGUAGACAAGUCGACACAGAGCACACGGCUGUCAUCUCCACAGUAGUUUGAAGUAACUGAGGCUUAUCUCCGCCAUUCAGUGUUAAAACUGCCUCAGUGUGUACAGGUGCCUAUAUAAAGAAGCUCUGUCUGUCCUAGCUUCAAGGAUGCCUGCCACUGGAGGAACCUGGUCUCAGCAUGAGACGUUUAAAGUUACCAUCCAACAUGGGAUAUUUGUAACACAAAAAAUAAUCUUUGCUGAUGCUGUUGUCAUUAAUCCUAUUCUGUAAAUGGCUUGCAAAAACAGUUAAAUGUGUUACAGAGUUGCUGUUCAAAAUGUAGUUAAUCUGAAUAAAACCAAUGCUGUAGGUUUUAGAAAAGGUGGUAUUGUUGCAAAACAUGAAAAAUGGUUUCUUGGUUCGUCUACCUUGAGUAUAGUCACUUACUAAAAAUAUUUAGGUCUUAUGUUCUCCUCUAGAUUGUCAUGAUCUAUGGCAUGUAAGCAAUUAGCUGUUUAGGCGUCGAAAGCCAUUAAACCUCUUUGUAAUUUAUUCAGGAAAAAUAGUUUUGUGUCUUUUUCCACAGCAUGUACCAUUUUUUAUACUUUUGUAUGGUUCUGAUAUAUGGGGUGCUAAGUUCACACUUCAUAUUUCAAAUGUUUUCUCGGUGUUGGUAAGUUUGCCUCAAACAAGGCAAUCCUUGGUGAAACAGGCCUAAGGAAUAUACUGAACCAAAUUAAAAACUUCACAAUCCUAAAAUUUUAACAAUUUGAGCAGUUAUCAUUGUUGGCCCUUAUUGUGUAUUUAAACAGUAAUGGCCACGUAAUGUCUUCAGAUAACACCCGUUUUUGUGCAGGUGAAUCGAUCAAAAUCAAGUGCACAACACUAUAGUGGCAAAAGUGUUUUUUC